Long non-coding RNA from Lagopus leucura (white-tailed ptarmigan), 227 nucleotides. RefSeq lists it as uncharacterized. The record is from RefSeq and is a predicted model, not a curated record. Lineage: Eukaryota; Metazoa; Chordata; Aves; Galliformes; Phasianidae. The transcript is spliced from 3 exons.
GAGCAAAAUACAGAGCAGAUGAAGAGAUACAGGUCCGUCGGAAUGUAUUACUGCCUAGGACAGAGAGCUGUAGCUCGCGGGGCCUCAUUGUUCGGGAACACCACGUAACAAAAAGAAAAGCCGUGCACUGAGGAGCUGCUGUGUCUGCAAGGGAUCUCUUCAAAACAGAAACCAAACAAAAUUGAGCAAACCCAACAAUGUACUCUGCAGCCAACAAUGGCCGCUGC